RNAcentral lists this ribosomal RNA (463 nucleotides) under Brachymonas sp. canine oral taxon 015. RNAcentral's name for it is "bacterial SSU rRNA". It matches the Rfam family "Bacterial small subunit ribosomal RNA", at positions 9 to 466 of the family's 1533-position model. Lineage: Bacteria; Pseudomonadati; Pseudomonadota; Betaproteobacteria; Burkholderiales; Comamonadaceae. The record is from RNAcentral.
GAGUUUGAUCAUGGCUCAGAUUGAACGCUGGCGGCAUGCUUUACACAUGCAAGUCGAACGGCAGCACAGGGAGCUUGCUCCUGGGUGGCGAGUGGCGAACGGGUGAGUAAUGUAUCGGAACGUGCCUGGUAGUGGGGGAUAACUACUCGAAAGAGUGGCUAAUACCGCAUGAGAUCUUUGGAUGAAAGCGGGGGACCUUCGGGCCUCGCGCUACUGGAGCGGCCGAUAUCAGAUUAGGUUGUUGGUGGGGUAAAGGCCUACCAAGCCUGCGAUCUGUAGCUGGUCUGAGAGGACGACCAGCCACACUGGGACUGAGACACGGCCCAGACUCCUACGGGAGGCAGCAGUGGGGAAUUUUGGACAAUGGGCGCAAGCCUGAUCCAGCAAUGCCGCGUGCAGGAUGAAGGCCUUCGGGUUGUAAACUGCUUUUGUACAGAACGAAAAGUCUCUGGCUAAUAUCUAG